RNAcentral lists this ribosomal RNA (252 nucleotides) under uncultured prokaryote. RNAcentral describes it as "partial 16S ribosomal RNA". It matches the Rfam family "Bacterial small subunit ribosomal RNA", at positions 524 to 776 of the family's 1533-position model. The record is from RNAcentral.
UACGUAGGGGGCAAGCGUUAUCCGGAAUCAUUGGGCGUAAAGAGUACGUAGGCGGCCAUAUAAGUCAGAAGUGAAAGGCUACGGCUUAACCGUAGUAAGCUUUUGAAACUGUAUGGCUUGAGUGCAGGAGAGGAAAGCGGAAUUCCUAGUGUAGCGGUGAAAUGCGUAGAUAUUAGGAAGAACACCAGUAGCGAAGGCGGCUUUCUGGACUGAAACUGACGCUGAGGUACGAAAGCGUGGGGAGCGAACAGG